This is a non-coding RNA of Pelobates cultripes (western spadefoot toad), 301 nucleotides long. NCBI's taxonomy places the organism in Eukaryota, Metazoa, Chordata, Amphibia, Anura, Pelobatidae. The record is from the annotation of a GenBank genome assembly.
GUCGAACAAAAAGAACAUUAAAGACCAGAAUAGCGGAACAUAUCCAAAAUAUAAAGAAGGGACUUCAGACACACAAUCUUUCUAAGCAUUUUCAGGAAGUUCAUGGAGGAGAUCCUACAGGACUUAGAUUUCUACCCAUCGAAAAAGUUAACGUCCAUUGGAGAGGUGGUGACAUAGAGAGGAACUUGGACCAAACCGAAGCAAGAUGGAUCUUUCAUUUAGAAACUCUGGUCCCGAAAGGUCUAAAUAUAGACUUCGAACUGAAUGCAUUUCUAUGAAAUGUUCAAUUCUGCUAUUCUAU